CGGGGAAUUUUGCGCAAUGGGCGAAAGCCUGACGCAGCGACGCCGCGUGGGUGAUGAAGGCCUUCGGGUUGUAAAGCCCCGUGGGGAGGGAAGAAUAAGGGGCGGCUAAUACCCGCACCGAUGACGGUACCUCCUUAGCAAGCACCGGCUAACUCUGUGCCAGCAGCCGCGGUAAGACAGAGGGUGCAAACGUUGUUCGGAAUUACUGGGCGUAAAGCGCGUGUAGGCGGUCUAGCAAGUCGGAUGUGAAAGCCCUUGGCUCAACUGAGGAAGUGCAUUCGAAACUGCGAGACUUGAGUCCCGGAGAGGAUGGUGGAAUUCUCGGUGUAGAGGUGAAAUUCGUAGAUAUCGAGAGGAACACCGGUGGCGAAGGCGGCCAUCUGGACGGUGACUGACGCUGAGACGCGAAAGCAUGGGGAGCAAACAG
RNAcentral lists this ribosomal RNA (427 nucleotides) under uncultured bacterium. Its description in RNAcentral is "bacterial SSU rRNA". It matches the Rfam family "Bacterial small subunit ribosomal RNA", at positions 355 to 775 of the family's 1533-position model. The record is from RNAcentral.